Anopheles merus is the source of this 799-nucleotide long non-coding RNA. RefSeq lists it as uncharacterized. The record is from RefSeq and is a predicted model, not a curated record. NCBI's taxonomy places the organism in Eukaryota, Metazoa, Arthropoda, Insecta, Diptera, Culicidae. The transcript has 3 exons.
CUGUGUGCCAAAGCGAGAUGCCCUGUCUUCUCUCUCUAGAUUUUGGACAGCAAACCGCCGCGCGUGUAGAGGUGUGUGCGUGUGACGAAAAACGAUGGACGAAAAACGCGAGGAGCGGGGUCUGAAGUCUUUCGUUGGUCACACAUACAUGCAUUUACCAGCGGAUUGCGCUACACCGUGUCUACCCAUCUUUUUCGAUCUAUCAUGAUCUUUUCUGCUAUCGCACUCAUCCGGGUGUUAGGCAUUCUCAGUCUGUCCAGAACUUUCGUUGUGGAAGGAUGUGCGGGAGUGAUGUGCGAUUUCUUGUGUCCCCUACUUUCCAUGUUUACGUUUUGCGCAGUGUUGCUUCUUAUUCCAUUGUGGAAUGAUUUAUCCUAGCUAACUUGUUGAGUUACAGGUGCAUGCGCCAUUCAUCAGCGCCUACGUGUUGGCAUCAUCAACAAUCUUCAAAGUGGGUGACGGAAAGAAAUUAUUUUCCAGUUUUAAAAUAUUAAGCGUUCAGCACAACUCAGCCACAAAACAACGCACUGGAUUACGCUAAGAACCUGUCAAAACGCGCGCCGCCCCUGGGCGCGGUAGGAGAAAGGAAGAACGAGAGGAGGAAAAACUAAAGCCAGCGCGCAGCUCUGAUGGUACCCCGGACGCAGUAAGGAGAAAAAAGAUCGAGAGGAGGAAGAACGGUAAAUUUGGAAGGGGGAGACCGUUCUGCCGUCUACACAGUGUGAGUAUGCCAAAGCACGUGUUGGAACGGAGAGAAAAUGUGUGGAAUAAACUGCAUGCGAAUGUGUGCAUAGACCAA